GCCCCCGUGGUGGAAUCGGUAGACACAGCUGACUUAAAAUCAGCCGCUGCGGCGUGCGGGUUCGAGUCCCGCCGGGGGCG
Molecule: transfer RNA, 80 nt
Filed under: Bifidobacterium pullorum subsp. saeculare
Lineage: Bacteria; Bacillati; Actinomycetota; Actinomycetes; Bifidobacteriales; Bifidobacteriaceae
Description: Bifidobacterium saeculare tRNA
Rfam family: tRNA
About the family: Transfer RNA (tRNA) molecules are approximately 80 nucleotides in length. Their secondary structure includes four short double-helical elements and three loops (D, anti-codon, and T loops).
Source: Rfam by way of RNAcentral